UGGGCGAAAGCCUGAUCCAGCAAUGCCGCGUGAGUGAUGAAGGCCUUAGGGUUGUAAAGCUCUUUUACCCGGGAUGAUAAUGACAGUACCGGGAGAAUAAGCUCCGGCUAACUCCGUGCCAGCAGCCGCGGUAAUACGGAGGGAGCUAGCGUUGUUCGGAAUUACUGGGCGUAAAGCGUACGUAGGCGGUUAUUCAAGUCAGAGGUGAAAGCCCGGGGCUCAACCCCGGAACUGCCUUUGAAACUAGAUAGCUAGAAUCUUGGAGAGGUCAGUGGAAUUCCGAGUGUAGAGGUGAAAUUCGUAGAUAUUCGGAAGAACACCAGUGGCGAAGGCGACUGACUGGACAAGUAUUGACGCUGAGGUACGAAAGCGUGGGGAGCAAACAGGAUUAGAUACCCUGGUAGUCCACGCCGUAAACGAUGAUAACUAGCUGUCCGGGCACUUGGUGCCUGGGUGGCGCAGCUAACGCAUUAAGUUAUCCGCCUGGGGAGUACGGUCGCAAGAUUA
This 507-nucleotide ribosomal RNA is filed under the name uncultured Pseudomonadota bacterium. Its description in RNAcentral is "bacterial SSU rRNA". It matches the Rfam family "Bacterial small subunit ribosomal RNA", at positions 372 to 896 of the family's 1533-position model. Lineage: Bacteria; Pseudomonadati; Pseudomonadota. The record is from RNAcentral.